This is a long non-coding RNA of Helianthus annuus (common sunflower), 595 nucleotides long. RefSeq lists it as uncharacterized. The record is from RefSeq and is a predicted model, not a curated record. Lineage: Eukaryota; Viridiplantae; Streptophyta; Magnoliopsida; Asterales; Asteraceae. The transcript is spliced from 2 exons.
GUUUCCUCCAUUUGUCUCACCAUCUCUAUUUUAUACUCACUCUAGAGAGAGAGAGACGGACAGACAGACAUCAAGAGAGAGAAACCAAGCAUCACAAAAUUCAAAUCUUUUUUCCUUAAAGAUGGGUUCAUCUUCUCCAUCAGCAACACCAUAUAUCAACGGAGAAAUCAAAGGCGGUUGGAAAAGAUCACAGAUCAGUCCUAUCAGUUAUGAUUACUCUUUCAAGAUUCUCGUUAUUGGAGAUUCAGGUGUUGAAAGACAUUUUCUCCAAAUACUUGAAAUCAGUGAAUCAUCCGAAAUGUGGGCAAUUUGAAGGAAUAAUACCGGAUAGGUUGUUGUGAAAAAGCAUGUUGUGAUGAUUUUGUGCUCCCAUGCUAACACGCUCCGCGAUGAAAUAAUGGCUGAAUCGGUAGCAUACAACGUGGCGAGUAGGUUUAGUGUUUAAAACGUUUCAUGCAAACAAUAGUAGUAAAAGACUAUGUUUUGUUUUUUCGAUAUGUAGUUAUUUGUUUGUUUGGUUGGGUUAUUUUUUUAUGUAAACUGGAUGUUUAGUUGGUUUGUAUACCUUAUAAUAUGUUUUUUGGAUUUGUUUUUA